This 493-nucleotide ribosomal RNA is filed under the name uncultured bacterium. RNAcentral's name for it is "partial 16S ribosomal RNA". It matches the Rfam family "Bacterial small subunit ribosomal RNA", at positions 29 to 507 of the family's 1533-position model. The record is from RNAcentral.
AGUGAACGCUGGCGGUAGGCCUAACACAUGCAAGUCGAACGGCAGCACAGUAAGAGCUUGCUCUUACGGGUGGCGAGUGGCGGACGGGUGAGGAAUACAUCGGAAUCUACUUUUUCGUGGGGGAUAACGUAGGGAAACUUACGCUAAUACCGCAUACGACCUACGGGUGAAAGCAGGGGAUCUUCGGACCUUGCGCGAUUGAAUGAGCCGAUGUCGGAUUAGCUAGUUGGCGGGGUAAAGGCCCACCAAGGCGACGACCCGUAGCUGGUCUGAGAGGAUGGAUCCGCAAAAGGGAACCGAAGCAAGGGCCAAGCCCCCACGGGAGGGAGGCGGGGGGGAAUGUUGGAAAAGGGGGGCAAGCCUUACCCAGCCAUGCCGCGGGGGUGAAGAAGGCCUUAGGUUUGUAAAGCCUUUUUGUGGGGAAAGAAAAGCAGCAGCUUAAUACCCGGCUGUUCUGACGGUACCCAAAGAAAAAGCACCGGCUAACUUCGUG